RNAcentral lists this long non-coding RNA (292 nucleotides) under Triticum aestivum (bread wheat). Its description in RNAcentral is "long non-coding RNA (TAES_LNC005985)". The record is from RNAcentral. Lineage: Eukaryota; Viridiplantae; Streptophyta; Magnoliopsida; Poales; Poaceae.
CGUCAGUCUGGCAGGGUAACAUCCCAAGUAGGGCAAGAGGUACUCACCCGAAUCACACCCCUAGCAUUUAAAUGUUCGAUUGUAAUGCUCGCUCGCCAUUGUUCUUAGAUCUUGCUUCCAUUAUCUAGGUUUUUCAUUCAAGGGUGGAUUAGUCGUAGAGGGCGAAGAUGUCUGACUUAUUUAGCGGGAUCCAAGCAGCUAUGGUUAUCAAUCGAGUAGAGAAUAGUGAGCAGUCACCUGAAGAUUGGAACAGUGACUGUGAUGGAUCCGGUGUCUCUGUGCACGUUAAUAC